GGGUUGUGAGGUUAAGCGACUAAGCGUACACGGUGGAUGCCCUGGCAGUCAGAGGCGAUGAAGGGCGUGCUAAUCUGCGAUAAGCGCCGGUAAGGUGAUAUGAACCGUUAUAACCGGCGAUACCCGAAUGGGGAAACCCAGUGUGACUCGUCACACUAUCAUUAACUGAAUCCAUAGGUUAAUGAGGCGAACCGGGGGAAC
Molecule: ribosomal RNA, 201 nt
Filed under: Salmonella enterica subsp. enterica serovar Kentucky
Lineage: Bacteria; Pseudomonadati; Pseudomonadota; Gammaproteobacteria; Enterobacterales; Enterobacteriaceae
Description: partial 23S ribosomal RNA
Rfam family: Bacterial large subunit ribosomal RNA
Source: RNAcentral